Molecule: ribosomal RNA, 954 nt
Filed under: Anisakis pegreffii
Lineage: Eukaryota; Metazoa; Nematoda; Chromadorea; Rhabditida; Anisakidae
Description: eukaryotic LSU rRNA
Rfam family: 5.8S ribosomal RNA (bases 420-573)
Source: RNAcentral
GUAGGUGAACCUGCGGAAGGAUCAUUAUCGAGCGAAUCCAAAACGAACGAAAAAGUCUCCCAACGUGCAUACCUUCCAUUUGCAUGUUGUUGUGAGCCACAUGGAAACUCGUACACACGUGGUGGCAGCCGUCUGCUGUGCUUUUUUUAGGCAGACAAUGGCUUACGAGUGGCCGUGUGCUUGUUGAACAACGGUGACCAAUUUGGCGUCUACGCCGUAUCUAGCUUCUGCCUGGACCGUCAGUUGCGAUGAAAGAUGCGGAGAAAGUUCCUUUGUUUUGGCUGCUAAUCAUCAUUGAUGAGCAGCAGCUUAAGGCAGAGUCGAGCAGACUUAAUGAGCCACGCUAGGUGGCCGCCAAAACCCAAAACACAACCGGUCUAUUUGACAUUGUUAUUUCAUUGUAUGUGUUGAAAAUGUACAAAUCUUGGCGGUGGAUCACUCGGUUCGUGGAUCGAUGAAGAACGCAGCCAGCUGCGAUAAAUAGUGCGAAUUGCAGACACAUUGAGCACUAAGAAUUCGAACGCACAUUGCGCUAUCGGGUUCAUUCCCGAUGGCACGUCUGGCUGAGGGUCGAAUUACGGUGAACUGUCUUCACGGUUUUUCUGGACUGUGAAGCAUUCGGCAAGCAAUUGCUGUUGUGUUGUUGGUGAUUCUAUCAUGGACAAUAUGACGAGCGGUUCCUUGCUUAGUGAUGACAAAAGAAGACGUCAACACCGAAUCUACUAUACUACUAAUACUAGUAUAUAGGUGAGGUGCUUUUGGUGGUCACAAAAGUGACAAGUAUGCCAUUUCAUAGGGGCAACAACCAGCAUACGUGAUAAGUUGGCUGGUUGAUGAAACGGCAACGGAAUGACGGACGUCUAUGUGAUCAAAAAUGAUACUAUUUGACCUCAGCUCAGUCGUGAUUACCCGCUGAAUUUAAGCAUAUAAUUAAGCGGAGGAAAAGAAACUAAC